GAUCCUGGCUCAGGAUGAACGCUAGCGACAGGCUUAACACAUGCAAGUCGAGGGGCAGCAUGAGGUAGCAAUACCUUGAUGGCGACCGGCGCACGGGUGAGUAACGCGUAUGCAACCUGCCCGAUACCGGGGUAUAGCCCAUGGAAACGUGGAUUAACACCCCAUAGUACUUUUAUCCUGCAUGGGAUGUGAGUUAAAUGUUCAAGGUAUCGGAUGGGCAUGCGUCCUAUUAGUUUAG
RNAcentral lists this ribosomal RNA (238 nucleotides) under uncultured bacterium. RNAcentral's name for it is "partial 16S ribosomal RNA". It matches the Rfam family "Bacterial small subunit ribosomal RNA", at positions 15 to 249 of the family's 1533-position model. The record is from RNAcentral.